Long non-coding RNA from Lolium rigidum, 897 nucleotides. RefSeq lists it as uncharacterized. The record is from RefSeq and is a predicted model, not a curated record. The transcript has 3 exons. Lineage: Eukaryota; Viridiplantae; Streptophyta; Magnoliopsida; Poales; Poaceae.
CCCUGCUGCCCCGCCGCGUUCCCCCGGACAGAUCCGCCGCCCUCCAUUGCUGCCCACAGAUCCUGGUGAGGUCAACGGCAAGCACGGGAUGGGCGAAAAUCUGGAGUGACGGACUCGAAGAUGUGCAACCACUAUUCUUCUCCUUAUGAUGUGCAUAGGGGUGCAUAUGACAUGGUUGUGGAGAAAUAAGAGGCACUGGCCUGCAUGGGAGGCAAUGUUGGAAGCAAUUCAUCACACGGAACCGUUCCAUCGGAGGAGAAAUGGUAGGUUUUUCAUUAAGAGGACAAGUCACAAUGAUUACUAUUGUCUAUCUUAGUGGUGGGGAUGAAGAAUCAUAUGAUGCUGCCAGUAUCUCUCCAUGAGGCAAACUAAGCGACUAUGAGCACAUUCGACUCUUAGAGAUCUUAGUGGCGGCUAAUACCUUCGCCGGGGUACCAUUUCUGACAUGUUUGACAAAAUCAAGUUCUUUCAAGUUAAUUCUAUUCUUUACUCUAGGUUCUCUCCAUACAUUGCAAUUGUAUUGGUCUUCGUCUGUCUUCAUAAUUAUAUUUUGGUUUUUCAUCCACGACAUCCGAGAAAUUACAUAACAAGGUGGUUUCCAAGCUUCACAAUCCUGGUGAUGGCUUGGCUUGACUGUGUAAUGGAGAUUCCUCUUCUUUGUUAACACCAACGAUGAGCAUGCCCGGCUAAUGUUUAGCAAACCGACGUGGAGAGUGUUCCAUAUAGAAGAAGGCGAACUACAAGUUGAACAAGCUGUGCUCAUCACUGCUAGGCCAUCACACGCCCGAUCAUGAGCAUUCUUUUUGUCAUUGACAUUAUCUAGUGUAGUUGGGCAGUGUGCCCAAUUGUGGUGGGUUCAUUAUUUGUUUAUGAGCCAUGUAGUUGCCUAUAUUAUUG